GACGAACGCUGGCGGCGUGCUUAACACAUGCCAGUCGAACGAAGAGCGAUGGAAGCUUGCUUCUAUCAGUCUUAGUGGCAACGGGUGAGUAACGCGUAAUCAACCUGCCCUUCAGAGGGGGACAACAGUUGGAAACGACUGCUAAUACCGCAUACGAUCUAAACUCGGCAUCGAGGAUAGAUGAAAGGUGGCCUCUACAUGUAAGCUAUCACUGAAGGAGGGGAUUGCGUCUGAUUAGCUAGUUGGAGGGGUAACGGCCCACCAAGGCGAUGAUCAGUAGCCGGUCUGAGAGGAUGAACGGCCACAUUGGGACUGAGACACGGCCCAGACUCCUACGGGAGGCAGCAGUGGGGAAUCUUCCGCAAUGGACGAAAGUCUGACGGAGCAACGCCGCGUGAGUGAUGACGGCCUUCGGGUUGUAAAGCUCUGUUAAUCGGGACGAAAGGCCUUCUUGCGAAUAGGGAGAAGGAUUGACGGUACCGGAAGAGAAAGCCACGGCUAACUACGUG
This 509-nucleotide ribosomal RNA is filed under the name uncultured bacterium. RNAcentral's name for it is "partial 16S ribosomal RNA". It matches the Rfam family "Bacterial small subunit ribosomal RNA", at positions 28 to 507 of the family's 1533-position model. The record is from RNAcentral.